AGAGUUUGAUUCUGGCUCAGAACGAACGCUGGCAGCGUGGAUUAGGCAUGCAAGUCGAACGGGAAUCCAGAGACUCAAGUUUUCGGACGAGAGUUUUUGGAGGAGAGUGGCGGAAGGGUGAGUAACGCGUGGGUAAGCUGCCUCUAAGUCGGGGAUAACCCUUCGAAAGGAGGGCUAAUACCGGAUGUGGUUGCCCCAGUAGUCUGGGGACAAUUAAAGGUGGGGAUUCUUCGGAACCUGCCGCUUGGAGAGGUGCCCGCGUCCUAUCAGCUUGUUGGUGAGGUAACGGCUCACCAAGGCUUACGGGUAGCUGGUCUGAGAGGAUGGUCAGCCACACUGGGACUGAGACACUGCCCAGACUCCUACGGGAGGCUGCAGUCGAGGAUCAUUGGCAAUACGCGAAAGCGUGACCAUGCGUCGCUGCGUGGAGGAUGAAGGCCCUCGGGUCGUAAACUCCUGUCACUCGGGAACAAUAGUGGGCCGGUAAAUAGCCGGUUCGCGUGAUAGUACCGAGAGAGGAAGCCACGGCUAACUCUGUGCCAGCAGCCGCGGUAUACAGAGGUGGCGAGCGUUGUUCGGAUUUACUGGGCGUAAAGGGUGCGUAGGUGGUCUUGUGUGUCAAGUGUGAAAUCCCACGGCUCACCCGUGGAACUGCACUCGAAACUGCGAGACUAGAGUCCAGGAGGGGAGAGCGGAAUUCUUGGUGUAGCGGUGAAAUGCGUUGAUAUCAAGAAGAACACCGGUGGCGAAGGCGGCUCUCUAGAAUGGUACUGACACUGAGGCACGAAAGUUGGGGGAGCAAACAGGAUUAGAUACCCUGGUAGUCCCAACCGUAAACGGUGUGCACUUAGUGUGGGCGGUAUUGACCCCGCCCGUGCUGGAGCUAACGCGUUAAGUGCACCGCCUGGGGAGUACGGCCGCAAGGCUAAAACUCAAAGAAAUUGACGGGGGCCCGCACAAGCGGAGGAGCAUGUGGCUUAAUUCGAUGCAACGCGAAGAACCUUACCAGGGCUUGACAUGGUGCUGCACGUCCCGUGAAAGUGGGAUUCCCUCGAGGGUGCACCACAGGUGCUGCAUGGCUGUCGUCAGUUCGUGCCGUGAGGUGUUGGGUUAAGUCCCGCAACGAACGCAACCCUUGUGGUUAGUUGCCACCGCCGGUGAUGAGCCGGCGAGCACUCUAGCCAGACUGCCCGUACAAGCGGGAGGAAGGUGGGGAUGACGUCAAGUCCGUAUGGCCUUUAUGCCCUGGGCUGCACACGUGCUACAAUGGUCGGUACAGAGGGAUGCAAGACCGCGAGGUGGAGCAAAUCCUCAAAACCGGCCUCAGUUCGGAUUGGAGUCUGAAACUCGACUCCAUGAAGUCGGAUUCGCUAGUAAUGGCGCAUCAGCUACGGCGCCGUGAAUACGUUCCCGGGCCUUGUACACACCGCCCGUCACAUCAUGAAAGCCGUCUGCACCCGAAGUUGCUGAUCCAACCCGUAAGGGAGGAAGGUACUGAAGGUGUGGGUGGUGAUUGGGAUGAAGUAACAAGGUA
This 1534-nucleotide ribosomal RNA is filed under the name metagenome. RNAcentral's name for it is "bacterial SSU rRNA". It matches the Rfam family "Bacterial small subunit ribosomal RNA". The record is from RNAcentral.